Molecule: ribosomal RNA, 681 nt
Filed under: Piromyces sp.
Lineage: Eukaryota; Fungi; Neocallimastigomycota; Neocallimastigomycetes; Neocallimastigales; Neocallimastigaceae
Description: partial large subunit ribosomal RNA
Rfam family: Eukaryotic large subunit ribosomal RNA
Source: RNAcentral
AACGGCGAGUGAAGCGGGAAGAGCUCAAAUUUGAAAUCUUCAAGGUUUUACCUUGACGAAUUGUAGUUUAAAGAAGUGUUUUCUGUUGAAGUUUUGGUAAAAGUUCUUUGGAAUAGGACAUCAUAGAGGGUGAGAAUCCCGUAUUUGACCAUUAUUUUCAGCUGUGUGAUACACUUUCAAAGAGUCGGAUUGUUUGGGAAUGCAGUCCAAAAUGGGUGGUAAAUUUCAUCUAAAGCUAAAUAUUGGCGAGAGACCGAUAGCGAACAAGUACCGUGAGGGAAAGAUGAAAAGAACUUUGAAAAGAGAGUUAAACAGUACGUGAAAUUGUCAAAAGGGAAGCGUUUGACACCAGUGUUGUUUUCUCGAAAAUCAAUUAAAAAGAGUUGGAUUUUGUGUUGUAUUGACCUUAACAGCUUUCUUCACUCUUUUCCUGCUUUUUUUAAUGCACUUUUCGUUUAACAAGUCAACAUCAGUUUCUUUUGUUGUAAAAAGGUCAUUGGAAGGUGGCUUUCUUUUCGGAGAAAGUGUUUAUAGCCUUUGAUCCCUGCAAUCGGAGAGACUGAGGUCUGCAGCGUAGACUCUUCGGGGUUAGAUACAUUUGUGCUAAGUUAUAGCUUUUCAUAGACAACUUGUUGACUAUGUUUAGUCUUGUAGCUUACUCGCUUAUGCUAUUUUACCUAC